RNAcentral lists this ribosomal RNA (583 nucleotides) under uncultured bacterium. RNAcentral's name for it is "bacterial SSU rRNA". It matches the Rfam family "Bacterial small subunit ribosomal RNA", at positions 276 to 859 of the family's 1533-position model. The record is from RNAcentral.
ACGAUCAGUAGGGGUUCUGAGAGGAAGGUCCCCCACAUUGGAACUGAGACACGGUCCAAACUCCUACGGGAGGCAGCAGUGAGGAAUAUUGGUCAAUGGACGAGAGUCUGAACCAGCCAAGUAGCGUGCAGGAUGACGGCCCUAUGGGUUGUAAACUGCUUUUAUAAGGGAAUAAAGUGAGUCUCGUGAGACUUUUUGCAUGUACCUUAUGAAUAAGGACCGGCUAAUUCCGUGCCAGCAGCCGCGGUAAUACGGAAGGUCCGGGCGUUAUCCGGAUUUAUUGGGUUUAAAGGGAGCGUAGGCCGGAGAUUAAGCGUGUUGUGAAAUGUAGACGCUCAACGUCUGCACUGCAGCGCGAACUGGUUUCCUUGAGUACGCACAAAGUGGGCGGAAUUCGUGGUGUAGCGGUGAAAUGCUUAGAUAUCACGAAGAACUCCGAUUGCGAAGGCAGCUCACUGGAGCGCAACUGACGCUGAAGCUCGAAAGUGCGGGUAUCGAACAGGAUUAGAUACCCUGGUAGUCCGCACGGUAAACGAUGGAUGCCCGCUGUUGGUCUGAAUAGGUCAGCGGCCAAGCGAAAGCA